Molecule: ribosomal RNA, 1769 nt
Filed under: Paracalliope fluviatilis
Lineage: Eukaryota; Metazoa; Arthropoda; Malacostraca; Amphipoda; Paracalliopiidae
Description: partial large subunit ribosomal RNA
Rfam family: Eukaryotic large subunit ribosomal RNA
Source: RNAcentral
GUAGUGGCGAACGAAAAGGGAGAAGCCCAGCGCAUAACCUCUCGGGCCACCCGGCCUGCAGCGGAAUUUUGCGUAAAGGGAACGAUCAUGCAUUCGUGCUCACGCACGGGUGUCUGCCCAAUGGCACAUAGCACUCGACCUAAGUCCAGGGGUGAAACUCUGCCGAGUAACCAGUUUGCUCUACUUCUCCAUGGAGGGUGAAAGACCCGUGUGGCGAGUGCAUAGUGUCUGGGUUUGAUUGUUUUCCCUGAGAGUCGCGUUGCUUGAGCAUGCAGCGCAAAGCAGGACGUAGACUCGUCCUAAGGCUAAAUAUUUCCACAGAACCGAUAGCGAACAAGUACCGUGAGGGAAAGUUGAAAAGGACUCUGAAGAGAGAGUUAAAAGACCGUGAAACCGUACAGGGCAGAGACUGAUGGAUUUGGCUUUCCGGUGGCAAUGAGAGGGAUGCUUGAUGCACCUGUGGUGCCGUCCCUCUCUGUGUGAGGUUGGCUUAUAUGGAAGACAGUGGAAGUGGUCAGUGAGACGAAAGUUUUAUCUUGGCUUGUGACGGUAGUAACACACUAAUGAUGCCAAACGCACGGGGUUUAGGUGUCGGAUGAUGGGUAUGUUAGCUUGCAUGAUUCGCUCUGCAUUCUUAAAUACCUUGAGGCAGUCUUGAGUGCGCAUCCACUUAGAGAUCCACUUACCGUAGCCACCGGAAUGCACCAACGCUUUACGAGGUCAGGGUGCCACGGCUCUCCGAGUCGUGUUGUCUGAGAGUUUCAUGUCUCGUUCUGUAAGGCAGUGAGGUCAUUUCAUUGUGACCCAUCACGCUGGCGUAACUGUUUGGGAAUCAUGAAGGAGCGUGCGUGUGUUGCUUCCUCACCCAGCAACACACAUCGUAACGCUCCGCAGGACUGGUGUUUGGGUGAACUCAUUCGAACGUCGGUGAUGCGGCACGCUCAUUCCUAAUUUUGUGUGCGUCAUACACCCGAGGCAGUCGCAAGAUUGCUUCGAGGCGACACGAAUUCCACGGACUUGCGUGCUUUAGCUGCCUAUUUGUUUGGUCUGUUCUGAAGCCCCGCCUGGUUCUUCAUGCCUCGAACCUGUCAGUGUAUUCAUUGCUGAGGCAUGUGUCAGUCUCUCGGCGCACUUUUCUGAAAUGUGUGAUCCUCAUGUGAAGGUUGUGAUCUGUGCGAGUUCAGAGACGCGCGUUCCUCUUUCGGGAGGGGCGUGCCAGUGUCUGUUCGCUGGUGCAUAUCAAUGGCUUGAAUCCAUCAGUCACGUCUCGAAACACGGGCCAAGGAGCAUAGCAUGUGCGCAAGUCUAAGGGUCAUACAAAACCUGCAGGCGAAGUGAAAGCGAUCUGGUGUGUGAUCUUGACAGUUAGUGGACCUGUUGUUGUGUGGGCGUGUGUGUUAACGCAUGCGCGUUCGUGCCACAGCAGAAUCCCGUACCCUCUUGCUCGUCACAGCCAGGGCGGGAUGCAUCAUAUCCCGUUCACGGUGGUCUCGGUAAAACGUGGCUUCCGUGUGCUGGUGUUGAAUAUGGCAUGUUGCCGCUUAAACAGAGUUGAUCCUGUAUCACGUUCCGUAUUGUGCGGGUUUUGCGGUGCGAAAGCACUGUCAGCGUGAGAAGGGCGCAAACUCCACGCCAUCCAAAGUAAUGUGCCUUGGCCUUCACGGGCCUUGGUGCGUGUGUGAUGGCAGUGUGGAGCGUGCAUGCUAUUACCCGAAAGAUAGUGAACUAUGCUUGGCGAGGGUGAAGCCCCAGGAAACUGGGGUGAAGGC